GACGAACGCUGGCGGCGUGCCUAAUACAUGCAAGUUGAGCGCUGAAGGUUGGUACUUGUUCCAACUGGAUGAGCAGCGAACGGGUGAGUAACGCGUGGGGAAUCUGCCUUUGAGCGGGGGACAACAUUUGGAAACGAAUGCUAAUACCGCAUAAAAACUUUAAACACAAGUUUUAAGUUUGAAAGAUGCAAUUGCAUCACUCAAAGAUGAUCCCGCGUUGUAUUAGCUAGUUGGUGAGGUAAAGGCUCACCAAGGCGAUGAUACAUAGCCGACCUGAGAGGGUGAUCGGCCACAUUGGGACUGAGACACGGCCCAAACUCCUACGGGAGGCAGCAGGAGGGAAACUUCGGCAAAGGACGGAAGUCUGACCGGGCAACGCCGCGGGAGUGAAGAAGGGUGUCGGAUCGUAAAACUCUGUUGGUAGAGAAGAACGUUGGUGGGAGUGGAAAGCUCAUCAAGUGACGGUAACUACCCAGAAAGGGACGGCUAACUACGUG
Molecule: ribosomal RNA, 497 nt
Filed under: uncultured bacterium
Lineage: Bacteria
Description: partial 16S ribosomal RNA
Rfam family: Bacterial small subunit ribosomal RNA
Source: RNAcentral